Non-coding RNA from Nelumbo nucifera (sacred lotus), 161 nucleotides. NCBI's taxonomy places the organism in Eukaryota, Viridiplantae, Streptophyta, Magnoliopsida, Proteales, Nelumbonaceae. The record is from Rfam.
AUACUUACCUGGACGGGGUCUAUGGGUGACCAAGAAGGCUCAUGGCCUAGGUUGGCGACCUCCAUUGCACAAAGGAGGGGUGCUCGCCUAACAUCUCCCCAAGUGGGAGAGUGUACGUCAUAAUUUGUGGUAGUGGGGGUACGCGUUCGCGCGGCCCCUAC